GACGAACGCUGGCGGCGUGCUUAACACAUGCAAGUCGUACGGUAAGGCCCUUUCGGGGGUACACGAGUGGCGAACGGGUGAGUAACACGUGAGUAACCUGCCCACAACUUUGGGAUAACGCUAGGAAACUGGUGCUAAUACUGGAUAUGUGCUCCUGCUGCAUGGUGGGGGUUGGAAAGCUCCGGCGGUUGUGGAUGGACUCGCGGCCUAUCAGCUUGUUGGUGGGGUAGUGGCCUACCAAGGCGGCGACGUGUAGCCGGCCUGAGAGGGUGACCGGCCACAGUGGGACUGAGAUACGGCCCAGACUCCUACGGGAGGCAGCAGUGGGGAAUAUUGCACAAUGGGCGCAAGCCUGAUGCAGCAACGCCGCGUGCGGGAUGACGGCCUUCGGGUUGUAAACCGCUUUCAGCAGGGACGAAGCUUUUUGUGACGGUACCUGCAGAAGAAGCACCGGCUAACUACGUG
RNAcentral lists this ribosomal RNA (465 nucleotides) under uncultured bacterium. Its description in RNAcentral is "partial 16S ribosomal RNA". It matches the Rfam family "Bacterial small subunit ribosomal RNA", at positions 28 to 507 of the family's 1533-position model. The record is from RNAcentral.